This is a long non-coding RNA of Cannabis sativa, 792 nucleotides long. RefSeq lists it as uncharacterized. Lineage: Eukaryota; Viridiplantae; Streptophyta; Magnoliopsida; Rosales; Cannabaceae. The transcript is spliced from 2 exons. The record is from RefSeq and is a predicted model, not a curated record.
UGGAUUAAUUGUGAUUUUGGUUGUGAAAAGCAAGCUUGAGUUCAUGGAACUCAAGCUUGGUGCUUUAAUGGCACUUUUUGAUUUUUAGUGCAAUUGUUGGGUUUAAGUUGUGGAAUAUGUUUAUUAUGACAUAUAUUGAUGCUCUGGAAAGUUUGGGAAUGUUUGGGGAUGAUUUGAGUGAGUUUUGGGGGUUUAAAGAUUGAGAAAUUUCGUGUUCGCUGCCCAGACAACCGGAAUUCCGGUUGGUUCAUCCGGAAUUCCGGUUGGAGUUCAUCGGGAAAUGCUGAAUUUUGUUUCGGCCAUAACUUUUGACUCGGGACUCCGUUUGGGACGUUCUUUAUACCGUUGGAAAGCUCUUUUUGAGCUCUAUGUGAUUAUCUGUAUUUGAAAUGCCAUGAAUUUAUUUUAUGAAUAUGAAAUCAGGGGUUAACCCUAUUUGUGAAAAUCCCGGAUUGUGUGACUAGGAUUACCGGCACCUGGUCAGGAGCACCCGGGGAUUCGGAAUCUCUGCCUUUGCAGGACAACAGGAAAGGGUAAGUCAGUGGCUGAUCAACCAUGAGUUUGAGGAGCAAGAUGAAGAAUGUACAUGUUCAAGCCAUAUCAGACCAAGCGGGUUAAGGGUCUAUCAGUGAUGAACUUUUGAAUUCUAUUUUGACGUUUAGGUCGGCUAGAAAUAAAUGACUUGUAAUAGCGGUUGUAAAUAUUUUUGGGAUCCCAACUAUUUUAAAAGUUUUAAAUAUAUUACAAGUUUAUUUUCUUUCUGUUUAAUAUAAAAGUUUAAAUUCUGCGCUA